UGGUCUGGUUUUGCUGUUUGAAGUAUAUAGUUCCGCUGAGAAAGCCCUGAAGAUUCCCAAAGCAAUGAUGUAAAAAUGAAGGUAUGAACAUAUGUGAAGAUGCACUAUUAUGUGGACUUGCAGCACCUGUGGCCUGAUGGUUGCUCCUCACUUAAUGCCAAGAUAUGGUACUAGUUACGUGCCUGUGUCCCCACGGUCCUGACUCCUCAGCUCAUGCUUCGAGCAUUCGAUGGGCUGCAGUCAGUGACCUGAAGGCUGCUGCGGAGGUGCCCAGCAAUGCUGUGGGUCCUCUCUG
Molecule: long non-coding RNA, 295 nt
Organism: Aquila chrysaetos chrysaetos
Lineage: Eukaryota; Metazoa; Chordata; Aves; Accipitriformes; Accipitridae
Exons: 3
Source: RefSeq, a predicted model, not a curated record